CACGUAGGUGGGUCGCUUAGUCGGGGGUGAAAUCCUGGAGCUCAACUCCAGAACUGCCUUUGAUACUGAGGAUCUUGAGUACGGGAGAGGUGAGUGGAACUGCGAGUGUAGAGGUGAAAUUCGUAGAUAUUCGCAAGAACACCAGUGGCGAAGGCGGCUCACUGGCCCGUUACUGACGCUGAGGCACGAAAGCGUGGGGGAGCAAACA
This 208-nucleotide ribosomal RNA is filed under the name uncultured bacterium. RNAcentral describes it as "partial 16S ribosomal RNA". It matches the Rfam family "Bacterial small subunit ribosomal RNA", at positions 568 to 774 of the family's 1533-position model. The record is from RNAcentral.